Non-coding RNA from Acanthosepion pharaonis, 113 nucleotides. Lineage: Eukaryota; Metazoa; Mollusca; Cephalopoda; Sepiida; Sepiidae. The record is from the annotation of a GenBank genome assembly.
UACGACCAUAUCAUAUUGAAACAUUGGUUCUCAUUCAAUUCCUGAAGUUAAGCAACACUGAGAUUGGCCAGUACUGAGAUGAGUGAUUGCUGGGGAAUACCAGGGGCUGUAAG